UAGAGCUUUCUGUGAAGCCGGGCUGUAAGGCAUCCGGUGGAGAGAUCAGAAGCGAGAAUGUUGACAUGAGUAGCGAUAAAGAGGGUGAGAGACCCUCUCGCCGUAAGUCCAAGGGUUCCUGCUUAAAGCUAAUCUGAGCAGGGUAAGCCGGCCCCUAAGGCGAGGCCGAAAGGCGUAGUCGAUGGGAACCACGUUAAUAUUCGUGGGCCAGGAGGAAGUGACGGAUCUCGAAGGUAGUUUGCCCUUAUCGGAUUGGGUGGGCUGCUCAGAGGUUCCAGGAAAUAGCCCUCCAUCAGACCGUACCCUAAACCGACACAGGUGGACUGGUAGAGUAUACCAAGGCGCUUGAGAGAACCACGUUAAAGGAACUCGGCAAAAUGCCUCCGUAAGUUCGCGAGAAGGAGGCCCCAUAUGUGCGCAAGCAUGUGUGGGGGGCACAAACUAGGGGGUGGCGACUGUUUACUUAAAACACAGGGCUGUGCGAAGCCGUAAGGCGACGUAUACAGUCUGACGCCUGCCCGGUGCUGGAAGGUUAAAAGGAGGGGUGCAAGCUCUGAAUUGAAGCCCCAGUAAACGGCGGCCGUAACAAUAACGGUCCUAAGGUAGCGAAAUUCCUUGUCGGGUAAGUUCCGACCUGCACGAAUGGCGUAACGAUCUCCCCGCUGUCUCUAACGUGGACUCAGCGAAAUUGAACUGUGUGUCAAGAUGCACACUACCCGCGGUUAGACGGAAAGACCCCAUGCACCUUUACUCCAGCUUUGCACUGGUAUCAGGAUUGUGAUGUGCAGGAUAGGUGGUAGGCAUCGAAGCGGGGACGCCAGUUCUCGUGGAGCCUCCCUUGAGAUACCACCCUUCGCCAUCUUGAUAUCUAACCGCGGCCCGUUAUCCGGGUCCGGGACCCUGCAUGGUGGGGAGUUUGACUGGGGCGGUCGCCUCCCAAACAGUAACGGAGGCGCGCGAAGGUAGGCUCAGACCGGUCGGAAAUCGGUCGUUGAGUGCAAUGGCAGAAGCCUGCCUGACUGCAAGUCUGACAAGACGAGCAGAGACGAAAGUCGGUCAUAGUGAUCCGGUGGUCCCAAGUGGGAGGGCCAUCGCUCAACGGAUAAAAGGUACGCUGGGGAUAACAGGCUGAUGAUGCCCAAGAGUCCAUAUCGACGGCAUCGUUUGGCACCUCGAUGUCGGCUCAUCUCAUCCUGGGGCUGGAGCAGGUCCCAAGGGUAUGGCUGUUCGCCAUUUAAAGAGGUACGUGAGCUGGGUUUAGAACGUCGUGAGACAGUUCGGUCCCUAUCUGCCGUGGGUGUAGGAGACUUGAGAAGAGUUGCCCCUAGUACGAGAGGACCGGGGUGAACGAACCACUGGUGGACCAGUUGUCGUGCCAACGGCAGUGCUGGGUAGCUAUGUUCGGACAGGAUAACCGCUGAAGGCAUCUAAGCGGGAAGCCCCCUUCAAAACAAGGUCUCCCUUGAGAGCCGUGGAAGACCACCACGUCAAUAGGCCGGAGGUGUAAGUGCAGCAAUGCA
RNAcentral lists this ribosomal RNA (1520 nucleotides) under metagenome. Its description in RNAcentral is "bacterial LSU rRNA". It matches the Rfam family "Bacterial large subunit ribosomal RNA", at positions 1232 to 2885 of the family's 2925-position model. The record is from RNAcentral.